Molecule: ribosomal RNA, 495 nt
Filed under: uncultured bacterium
Lineage: Bacteria
Description: partial 16S ribosomal RNA
Rfam family: Bacterial small subunit ribosomal RNA
Source: RNAcentral
UGAACGCUGGCGGCGUGCCUAAUACAUGCAAGUCGAGCGAACAGACGCGGAGCUUGCUCCUCUGACGUUAGCGGCGGACGGGUGAGUAACACGUGGAUAACCUACCUAUAAGACUGGGAUAACUUCGGGAAACCGGAGCUAAUACCGGAUAAUAUAUUGAACCGCAUGGUUCACUAGUGAAAAACGGUUUUGCUGUCACUUAUAGAUGGAUCCGCGCCGCAUUAGCUAGUUGGUAAGGUAACGGCUUACCAAGGCAACGAUGCGUAGCCGACCUGAGAGGGUGAUCGGCCACACUGGAACUGAGACACGGUCCAGACUCCUACGGGAGGCAGCAGUAGGGAAUCUUCCGCAAUGGGCGAAAGCCUGACGGAGCAACGCCGCGUGAGUGAUGAAGGUCUUCGGAUCGUAAAACUCUGUUAUUAGGGAAGAACAAAUGUGUAAGUAACUAUGCACGUCUUGACGGUACCUAAUCAGAAAGCCACGGCUAACUACGUG